AUGGCUGUCGUCAGCUCGUGUCGUGAGAUGUUGGGUUAAGUCCCGCAACGAGCGCAACCCUUGUCAUUAGUUGCUACAUUCAGUUGGGCACUCUAAUGAGACUGCCGGUGACAAACCGGAGGAAGGUGGGGAUGACGUCAAGUCCUCAUGGCCCUUAUGAGUAGGGCUUCACACGUAAUACAAUGGCGCGUACAGAGGGUUGCUAAGCCGCGAGGUAGAGCCAAUCCCUUAAAGCGCGUCGUAGUCCGGAUUGCAGUCUGCAACUCGACUGCAUGAAGUCGGAAUCGCUAGUAAUCGCGGAUCAGCAUGUCGCGGUGAAUACGUUCCCGGGUCUUGUACACACCGCCCGUCACACCAUGGGAGUGGGUUUCACCAGAAGCCGGUCGCCUAACCGCAAGGGGGGCGCCGACCACGGUGAGAUUCAUGACUGGGGUGAAGUCGUAACAAGGUAGCCGUAGGGGAACCUGCGGCUGGAUCACCUCCUUAACGGAUCGCGAGUAACCUCCUCGGAGGGGAAAGCAUCUCGUAGUCGCUUCGCUUCGACACAUCCUGUUCACCCACUCUCGAUUGUUGACCCCCUGGCGCCUCGGCGCCUCGAGGGUCAGUGCUGUUUGACAACGGAUGUACAUGGUAGAUCGUGGGAUUUAUUGAAUCCUUUAUUGAGAUGACAUUUUCGCAAGAAAAAGUCACUCGUUUGAAACAAUGCGCGUAGUUCUGCUUGAAGACAUCUAUUGUGGUCAAGCGAAGGAAGGCAUGUGGGGGAUGCCUGGGCACACAGAGGCGAUGAAGGCCGUGGUAAGCUGCGAGAAGCUCGGGGGAGUGGCACACACGCGGUGAUCCCGAGAUGGCCGAAUGGGGAAACCCGG
Molecule: small RNA, 866 nt
Filed under: uncultured Nitrosomonadaceae bacterium
Lineage: Bacteria; Pseudomonadati; Pseudomonadota; Betaproteobacteria; Nitrosomonadales; Nitrosomonadaceae
Description: bacterial SSU rRNA
Rfam family: Bacterial small subunit ribosomal RNA (bases 1-486)
Source: RNAcentral